GGAUCCAGACUUUGAUCAUGGCUCAGGAUGAACGCUAGCGGCAGGCCUAAUACAUGCAAGUCGGACGGGAUUGGAGAGCUUGCUUUCCAUGAGAGUGGCGCACGGGUGCGUAACACGUAUGUAACCUACCUUCUUCAGGGGGAUAGCCUCUCGAAAGAGAGAUUAAGACCGCAUAACAUUGCAAUGUGGCAUCACAAAGCAAUCAAAUAUUUAUAGGAAGAAGAUGGGCAUGCGGAACAUUAGCUAGUUGGUAAGGUAAUGGCUUACCAAGGCUACGAUGUUUAGGGGAUCUGAGAGGAUGGCCCCCCACACUGGUACUGAGACACGGACCAGACUCCUACGGGAGGCAGCAGUAAGGAAUAUUGGUCAAUGGACGGAAGUCUGAACCAGCCAUGCCGCGUGCAGGAAGGCGGCCCUACGGGUUGUAAACUGCUUUUGCAGGGGAAUAAACCCCGAUACGUGUAUCGGGCUGAAUGUACUCUGAGAAUAAGGAUCGGCUAACUCCGUGCCAGCAGCCGCGGUAAUACGGAGGAUCCAAGCGUUAUCCGGAUUUAUUGGGUUUAAAGGGUGCGUAGGUGGCCUGUUAAGUCAGGGGUGAAAGACGGUAGCUUAACUAUCGCAGUGCCCUUGAUACUGAUGGGCUUGAAUACACUAGAGGUAGGCGGAAUGUGGCAAGUAGCGGUGAAAUGCAUAGAUAUGCCACAGAACACCAAUUGCGAAGGCAGCUUACUAUGGUGUUAUUGACACUGAGGCACGAAAGCGUGGGGAUCAAACAGGAUUAGAUACCCUGGUAGUCCACGCCCUAAACGAUGAAUACUCGAUGUUGGCGAUAUACGGUCAGCGUCUAAGCGAAAGCGUUAAGUAUUCCACCUGGGGAGUACGCCCGCAAGGGUGAAACUCAAAGGAAUUGACGGGGGCCCGCACAAGCGGAGGAGCAUGUGGUUUAAUUCGAUGAUACGCGAGGAACCUUACCCGGGCUUGAAAGUUAGUGAAUAAAGCAGAGACGCUUUAGUCCUUCGGGACACGAAACUAGGUGCUGCAUGGCUGUCGUCAGCUCGUGCCGUGAGGUGUUGGGUUAAGUCCCGCAACGAGCGCAACCC
RNAcentral lists this ribosomal RNA (1100 nucleotides) under uncultured bacterium. RNAcentral describes it as "bacterial SSU rRNA". It matches the Rfam family "Bacterial small subunit ribosomal RNA", at positions 1 to 1104 of the family's 1533-position model. The record is from RNAcentral.